Molecule: long non-coding RNA, 2186 nt
Organism: Gadus macrocephalus (Pacific cod)
Lineage: Eukaryota; Metazoa; Chordata; Actinopteri; Gadiformes; Gadidae
Exons: 2
Source: RefSeq, a predicted model, not a curated record
CACACACACACACACACACACACACACACACACACACACACACACACACACACACACACACACACACACACACACACACACACACACACACACACACACACACACACACACACACACACACACACACACACACACACACACCACCACCCCCCACCCACCAGUCUUGUGUCCUUGUCCAUCAGUUGGUUCCAUGGGUUGGUGCCAGGAAGAUAUUCACGACAUUUGGCCACAUUUAGCUUAGCAUCAUUCUCAUGUAAAUUGCUCAGGUCAAACACUGCACGAUUAAAAAGACCCCUUAAAAAAGAAAUAGAAUUGAAUCUUUGCUAAAGAUUGUGUUCAGCUGUCGCUAUUUAAUGAGGCCUAUAUUUAUUAGUGCCUUGUCUUUGUGGAUGAUGCUACAUAGAAUAUUUGAGUUUUAGUCAACCCGUGUGGUACAGGAAUAUGUACUGUUCAAUGCUGCUUUGUUUAACCUUUAUUUAACCAUGGUUGCUCCUCAUUGAGCUGAAACCACUCUUUCACAAGAGAGAACUAGACAGAAAUCUGAGUAAGAACACUUAAUACUGCAUAGCACUCGUUCUGUAUUUACUGUAUUUACGUCAGAAUGACGUAAAUACGUCAUUCUGACGUAUUUAUUCUAGCGCAGUAGCCUAAAAACGGUUGACUCAAAUGCAAGCCCCUCACUGAAUGUUAUCGUUUUGUUCUGCAACGGUCUACACAAAAUGCAAAAAAUAAUAAUAAUUAAGGGAAAUUAAUGUCUGAAUAGAUCAAGCUUUGGAUCUCCAGACUCUGGCUUCAACACAGCUCAGAGAUGUAUGAAAGGGUACAAUUUGUUAAUUUCAUUGGUGUCUGAGAUGCAGAGUAUCAAUCACAUUUUGAACAAGAAGAUAAAUGCUAUGACUAAGAUUGAAAAACAAUUCUCUUGGAGAAAUCUGGACACACUAGUGUUACUAGUGUUAUUAGUGAUACUACGACUGAUAAUUCCAAUGAUCUGAUUAAGUGAAAAAAAACGGAUUUAUGGUGAAGUGAGAGAAAGAUAAGAAAUGUAUUGCAUUUUUUUAUUUAGUAGGUUUUCUUCUCUACUCAAUGAAGUCAUAUAUCUGUCGGCCCAUCUCUGUCGAUUUCUGUAUGCAUUUGUCAGUUGAAAUUGGGAGUUAAACAAAACAACUCAAUAACAGUAAAAUAAAAAAAGUUAUACCUGUGAAAUCAACAGAAGUUGACCUCUACCUAAAAUGUUCUUGUUGACAGAUAGCAACAGACAAUUUAAGGAAGUAAGGAGGAUUUGAUUUUUUUUUUAUGUUGCAAAAUAUGCAGCUUUCAAACAAUGGAUUAUACAACAAUAUCGGGCGGCCUAAAGUCCAUUUUAGUAUAAUUAUACUCUUGUACUGUACUUUUCCACUUUCCUUCUAUAUUCAAAUGGGCAGGAUGAUCCAUUUCUAUAGAUCUUAAACACACUCUUUUGCAGAGAUCGGACUGACGCUCAUGAAAUGUAAAUUCACAUGUUUAAAGGUGCAAAAAUAAGACAAAACAUUGUUGUGUAUGGAUACCGUAAUGUCCUCUUCUGUAGUGGUUAUGCAAAUAUUGUUAUGCUGUGUGUGUGUGUGUGUGUGUGUGUGUGUGUGUGUGUGUGUGUGUGUGUGUGUGUGUGUGUGUGUGUGUGUGUGUGUGUGUGUGUGUGUGUGUGUGUGUGUGUGUGUGUGUGUGUGUGUGUCUUCCUUCCUCUGUGUAUUUGCCUGGAGAAUAGAGUUAUACCAUGACCUAGCGAAGUCUGUAUCUGUGCUGUUUAACUUAUUCUGCUUGUGUGUGUGUGUUUGUGUGUGUGUGUGUGUGUGUGUUCUAAAACGGAGCUGGUCUCCUAGCCAAGUGUGCUAGAAGUUUAUGUGUGUGUGUGUGUGUGUGUGUGUGUGUGUGUGUGUGUGUGUGUGUGUGUGUGUGUGUGUGUGUGUGUGUGUGUGUGUGUGUGUGUGUGUGUGUGUGUAACUCCCAUGUUUUACCUAUGCAGCCUCCCCUCCCCCCCACACACUUCUUUCCCAGGCUGGCUCCUCUGGUAUAAGUUCUGAUAUUGAGUGUAUAUGUGUGUAUGUACUUCUUUUACAUCUUCCCCAUAUCCAUAUCCCCUCCCCCGUCCUGCUCUGUGACAUCAUCGCUACUUCUACACAUAUUAAAUAAAUGUUCCUGGUGCGUUACAA